UUGCAAUGAUGAUUCAGUAACUAUUGAGAGUGUCUGUGAAUGCUCGAUGGAAAUCCGGCAGUCAUGUCGAUCUGAGCGGUUAGCUGAGCAA
Small nucleolar RNA from Argentina anserina (silverweed cinquefoil), 91 nucleotides. RefSeq annotates it as small nucleolar RNA snoR128. The transcript has a single exon. NCBI's taxonomy places the organism in Eukaryota, Viridiplantae, Streptophyta, Magnoliopsida, Rosales, Rosaceae. The record is from RefSeq and is a predicted model, not a curated record.